Molecule: small RNA, 123 nt
Filed under: Caenispirillum salinarum AK4
Lineage: Bacteria; Pseudomonadati; Pseudomonadota; Alphaproteobacteria; Rhodospirillales; Novispirillaceae
Description: rpsB sRNA
Rfam family: rpsB sRNA
Source: Rfam by way of RNAcentral
CGCACGCGGGUGCGCGGCCCUUUGCCCGACAACGGCAACAGGGCCAUCCGGUGUCGGUACGGUCUUCGCAGGAUCGUCCGAUGACUUGCCCCGCGGAGGCCUAACCGGAAAAAGAGGACAUUA